UGCUAGUUGUGCGGGUUUAGACCCGCAGCGGAAAGCUCAGUAACACGUGGCCAAACUACCCUGUGGAUGGGAACAAUCUCGGGAAACUGAGGCUAAUUCCCAAUAACGCUCCGCCCCUGGAACGGGCGGAGCUGGAAACGCUACGGCGCCACAGGAUGUGGCUGCGGUCGAUUAGGUAGACGGUGGGGUAACGGCCCACCGUGCCAAUAAUCGGUACGGGUUGUGAGAGCAAGAGCCCGGAGACGGAAUCUGAGACAAGAUUCCGGGCCCUACGGGGCGCAGCAGGCGCGAAACCUUUACACUGUACGCAAGUGCGAUAAGGGGACUCCGAGUGUGAAGGCAUAGAGCCUUCACUUUUGUACACCGUAAGGUGGUGUACGAAUAAGGGCUGGGCAAGACCGGUGCCAGCCGCCGCGGUAAUACCGGCAGCCCGAGUGAUGGCCGAUAUUAUUGGGCCUAAAGCGUCCGUAGCUGGCCGGACAAGUCCGUUGGGAAAUCUGUUCGCUUAACGAGCAGGCGUCCAGCGGAAACUGUUCGGCUUGGGACCGGAAGACCUGAGGGGUACGUCCGGGGUAGGAGUGAAAUCCUGUAAUCCUGGACGGACCACCGGUGGCGAAAGCGCCUCAGGAGGACGGAUCCGACAGUGAGGGACGAAAGCUAGGGUCUCGAACCGGAUUAGAUACCCGGGUAGUCCUAGCUGUAAACGAUGCCCGCUAGGUGUUGGCGCAGGCUACGAGCCUGCGCUGUGCCGUAGGGAAGCCGAGAAGCGGGCCGCCUGGGAAGUACGUCUGCAAGGAUGAAACUUAAAGGAAUUGGCGGGGGAGCACUACAACCGGAGGAGCCUGCGGUUUAAUUGGACUCAACGCCGGACAUCUCACCAGCUCCGACAGUAGUAAUGACGGUCAGGUUGAUGACUUUACCCGAUGCUACUGAGAGGAGGUGCAUGGCCGCCGUCAGCUCGUACCGUGAGGCGUCCUGUUAAGUCAGGCAACGAGCGAGACCCGCACUCCUAAUUGCCAGCAGUACCCUUUUGGGUAGCUGGGUACAUU
Molecule: ribosomal RNA, 1049 nt
Filed under: Halobacterium sp. HmM1
Lineage: Archaea; Methanobacteriati; Methanobacteriota; Halobacteria; Halobacteriales; Halobacteriaceae
Description: bacterial SSU rRNA
Rfam family: Archaeal small subunit ribosomal RNA
Source: RNAcentral